GAUCAUUACAGAGUUCAUGCCCGAAAGGGUAGACCUCCCACCCUUGUGUAUUAUUACUUUGUUGCUUUGGCGAGCUGCCUUCGGGCCUUGUAUGCUCGCCAGAGAAUACCAAAACUCUUUUUAUUAAUGUCGUCUGAGUACUAUAUAAUAGUUAAAACUUUCAACAACGGAUCUCUUGGUUCUGGCAUCGAUGAAGAACGCAGCGAAAUGCGAUAAGUAAUGUGAAUUGCAGAAUUCAGUGAAUCAUCGAAUCUUUGAACGCACAUUGCGCCCCUUGGUAUUCCGGGGGGCAUGCCUGUUCGAGCGUCAUUUCAACCCUCAAGCUUAGCUUGGUAUUGAGUCUAUGUCAGUAAUGGCAGGCUCUAAAAUCAGUGGCGGCGCCGCUGGGUCCUGAACGUAGUAAUAUCUCUCGUUACAGGUUCUCGGUGUGCUUCUGCCAAAACCCAAAUUUUUCUAUGGUUGACCUCGGAUCAGGUAGGGAUACCCGCUGAACUUAAGCAUAUCAAUAAGCCGGAGGAAAUACCUCGGAUCA
This 532-nucleotide ribosomal RNA is filed under the name Botrytis cinerea. Its description in RNAcentral is "eukaryotic LSU rRNA". The stretch from base 156 to 309 matches the Rfam family "5.8S ribosomal RNA". Lineage: Eukaryota; Fungi; Ascomycota; Leotiomycetes; Helotiales; Sclerotiniaceae. The record is from RNAcentral.